RNAcentral lists this ribosomal RNA (479 nucleotides) under uncultured bacterium. RNAcentral's name for it is "partial 16S ribosomal RNA". It matches the Rfam family "Bacterial small subunit ribosomal RNA", at positions 28 to 507 of the family's 1533-position model. The record is from RNAcentral.
GAUGAACGCUGGCGGCGUGCUUAACACAUGCAAGUCGAACGAAGCACCUUGAUUCGAUUCUUCUGAUGAAGAUCUUGGUGCCUGAGUGGCGGACGGGUGAGUAACGCGUGGGUAACCUGCCUCAUACAGGGGGAUAACAGUUAGAAAUGACUGCUAAUACCGCAUAAGACCACAGCACCGCAUGGUGCAGGGGUAAAAAGUCCGGUGGUAUGAGAUGGACACGCGUCUGAUUAGGUAGUUGGUGGGGUAACGGCCUACCAAGCCGACGAUCAGUAGCCGAGAAGAGAGGGUGACCCGAGACAUUUGCGCUGGGACACAGUCCAGACUACUACGCGAGGGAGGAGAGGGGGAUACAGCAAAACGGGGGGAGUGCUGAUGCCGCGACGCCGGGUGAGCGAUUAAGUAUGUCGGGAUGUGCAGCAGGAUCAGCAGGCGAGGUAAUGACGGUACCUGACGAAGAAGCACCGGCUAACUACGUG